UGGGGCGUGGCCAAGUGGUAAGGCAACGGCUUUUGGUGCCGUCAUUCGCAGGUUCGAAUCCUGCCGCCCCAGCCA
This 75-nucleotide transfer RNA is filed under the name Hyphomicrobiales bacterium. Its description in RNAcentral is "tRNA-Gln". It matches the Rfam family "tRNA". From Rfam's summary of the family: Transfer RNA (tRNA) molecules are approximately 80 nucleotides in length. Their secondary structure includes four short double-helical elements and three loops (D, anti-codon, and T loops). Lineage: Bacteria; Pseudomonadati; Pseudomonadota; Alphaproteobacteria; Hyphomicrobiales. The record is from RNAcentral.